RNAcentral lists this ribosomal RNA (468 nucleotides) under uncultured bacterium. RNAcentral's name for it is "partial 16S ribosomal RNA". It matches the Rfam family "Bacterial small subunit ribosomal RNA", at positions 28 to 507 of the family's 1533-position model. The record is from RNAcentral.
GACGAACGCUGGCGGCGUGCUUAACACAUGCAGGUCGAACGGAAAGGCCCUGCUUUUGUGGGGUGCUCGAGUGGCGAACGGGUGAGUAACACGUGAGUAACCUGCCCUUGACUUUGGGAUAACUUCAGGAAACUGGGGCUAAUACCGGAUAGGAGCUCCUGCUGCAUGGUGGGGGUUGGAAAGUUUCGGCGGUUGGGGAUGGACUCGCGGCUUAUCAGCUUGUUGGUGGGGUAGUGGCUUACCAGGGCUUUGACGGGUAGCCGGCCUGAGAGGGUGACCGGCCACAUUGGGACUGAGAUACGGCCCAGACUCCUACGGGAGGCAGCAGUGGGGAAUAUUGCACAAUGGGCGGAAGCCUGAUGCAGCAACGCCGCGUGCGGGAUGACGGCCUUCGGGUUGUAAACCGCUUUCGCCUGUGACGAAGCGUGAGUGACGGUAAUGGGUAAAGAAGCACCGGCUAACUACGUG